ACGCAGGCGGUUUGUUAAGUCAGAUGUGAAAUCCCCGGGCUCAACCUGGGAACUGCAUCUGAUACUGGCAAGCUUGAGUCUCGUAGAGGGGGGUAGAAUUCCAGGUGUAGCGGUGAAAUGCGUAGAGAUCUGGAGGAAUACCGGUGGCGAAGGCGGCCCCCUGGACGAAGACUGACGCUCAGGUGCGAAAGCGUGGGGAGCAAACAGGAUUAGAUACCCUGGUAGUCCACGCCGUAAACGAUGUCGACUUGGAGGUUGUGCCCUUGAGGCGUGGCUUCCGGAGCUAACGCGUUAAGUCGACCGCCUGGGGAGUACGGCCGCAAGGUUAAAACUCAAAUGAAUUGACGGGGGCCCGCACAAGCGGUGGAGCAUGUGGUUUAAUUCGAUGCAACGCGAAGAACCUUACCUGGUCUUGACAUCCACGGAAGUUUUCAGAGAUGAGAAUGUGCCUUCGGGAACCGUGAGACAGGUGCUGCAUGGCUGUCGUCAGCUCGUGUUGUGAAAUGUUGGGUUAAGUCCCGCAACGAGCGCAACCCUUAUCCUUUGUUGCCAGCGGUCCGGCCGGGAACUCAAAGGA
RNAcentral lists this ribosomal RNA (577 nucleotides) under Escherichia coli. RNAcentral describes it as "bacterial SSU rRNA". It matches the Rfam family "Bacterial small subunit ribosomal RNA", at positions 569 to 1146 of the family's 1533-position model. Lineage: Bacteria; Pseudomonadati; Pseudomonadota; Gammaproteobacteria; Enterobacterales; Enterobacteriaceae. The record is from RNAcentral.